UACGUAGGUCCCGAGCGUUGUCCGGAUUUAUUGGGUGUAAAGCGAGCGCAGGUGGUUUAUUAAGUCUGGUGUAAAAGGCAGCGGCUCAACCAUUGUAUGCAUUGGAAACUGGUAGACUUGAGUGCAGGAGAGGAGAGUGGAAUUCCAUGUGUAGCGGUGAAAUGCGUAGAUAUAUGGAGGAACACCGGUGGCGAAAGCGGCUCUCUGGCCUGUAACUGACACUGAGGCUCGAAAGCGUGGGGAGCAAACAGG
Molecule: ribosomal RNA, 252 nt
Filed under: uncultured bacterium
Lineage: Bacteria
Description: partial 16S ribosomal RNA
Rfam family: Bacterial small subunit ribosomal RNA
Source: RNAcentral